This 106-nucleotide non-coding RNA is filed under the name Deltaproteobacteria bacterium. RNAcentral's name for it is "Glycine sequence". It matches the Rfam family "Glycine riboswitch aptamer". Rfam says of the family: This family represents the bacterial glycine riboswitch. Glycine riboswitches usually consist of two metabolite-binding aptamers domains with similar structures in tandem. The record is from RNAcentral. Lineage: Bacteria; Pseudomonadati; Myxococcota; Myxococcia.
UAAUAGGUUACAGGAGAGACCCUAUCCCUUAGGGGAGGGGCGCCGAAGGGGCAAAUCCUGAUUGGAUCGGGACGAAACUCUCAGGCAAAAGGACUGUAACUUAUUU